Molecule: long non-coding RNA, 1066 nt
Organism: Pieris napi
Lineage: Eukaryota; Metazoa; Arthropoda; Insecta; Lepidoptera; Pieridae
Exons: 2
Source: RefSeq, a predicted model, not a curated record
AUUUUCGAAUGAGUGUUAGAAGUUUUGAUGAAUUACUUCGCAAUUUAGGACCUGCGUUGACAUACGAAAAUACAAACAUGAGAUUGUCUGUUCCGGCUGAAGAAAGACUCGCUGUUACUUUGAGAUAUCUUGCAACCGGCAACAGUUUUUACAGCAUAUCAUUUGAAUAUUUGAUAGGUGCCACCACUGCACGAGAAAUUGUAAAAUCUACAUGUUCUACGAUCUGGAAUUUACAUACACUAUACAUGCCUGAAAAGUCUGAAGAGGAUUGGUAUACUAUUUCAAAUCAGUUUUACCAACGGACAAAUUUUCCGAACAUAAUUGGCGCAAUUGAUGGCAAACAUGUGAGAAUAAUUCAGCCGGAAAACACCGGUACGCAGUGUUUCAAUUACAAAAAGUACUUUUCUACUGUUCUCAUGGCAUGGGUAGAUGCAGAUUAUAAAUUUGUAUACAUAGAUGUUGGUGCUAAUGGAGCAGCAAGCGACUCCAAUGUAUUUCAGAAUUCUGGCAUGGGCAAAAGAUUGCAGCAAAAUCAAUUGAGCAUACCAGAUGAUCGUAAUUUGCCAUAUGAUGAAAAUGGAAAAAAAAUUUUGUUUGGUCGCUGAUGAGGCAUUUGGCUUGUCGAGGCAUAUUUUGCGACCAUAUUCAAGAAAAUCAUUGUCUACUGUAAAAAAAAUUUACAACUAUCGCCACACUAGGGCACGACGCAUGGUUGAAUGCACUUUUGGUAUACUUUGUAACAAAUGGCGAAUUUUGCACAGGCCGAUUGACGUCAGUCUUGAUUUUGCUGAUAUAAUAGUAAAAACAUGUUGUAUUUUACAUAAUUUUGUACGGUGCAGAGAUGGCAUUCAAUUUACUGACACUGUUUACGAUUGUCCAUUAAAAGGUAUUGCAACAAAUCCAUCAGACAGAACCAUAUCAGCAGCAAAUAUACGUAAUUAUUUUGCGAAUUACUUUACUUCACCACAAGGGGCUGUGUCAUGGCAGUAUGACAAAAUCUGAAUUUCACCUUUUUGUACAACUGUUGUUUUAGCUACAAAUACUAAAAAUAAAAAGAUACUCACCA